Macrobrachium nipponense is the source of this 314-nucleotide long non-coding RNA. RefSeq lists it as uncharacterized. The transcript is spliced from 3 exons. The record is from RefSeq and is a predicted model, not a curated record. NCBI's taxonomy places the organism in Eukaryota, Metazoa, Arthropoda, Malacostraca, Decapoda, Palaemonidae.
GCACGCUCGUGAAUGGGUUAGCCCAUCUGCUGCUCUGUAUGUUAUAGACGCACUUCUCGCCAAUAGCAGGCUUACGGAGACUACUGAACGGCAGAUCAUGCCCAUGCUCAAUCCCAAUGGGUAUGUCUACACUUGGACCCAGAAUCGUUUGUGGCGCAAGAACAGGGCUCAUUCUACCUCCUCAUUUGCAUCGGCUUUGACCUCAACAGAAAGUUUGGAUAUCAGUGGGGAGUGACCCUUGCUCCGAUAUUUACAAGGGAGCGUCACCCUUUAGCGAACCAGAAAGCAGGGCUCUCAGAGAUGCUAUGUUGCCC